This 327-nucleotide ribosomal RNA is filed under the name uncultured eukaryote. RNAcentral's name for it is "partial 18S ribosomal RNA". It matches the Rfam family "Eukaryotic small subunit ribosomal RNA", at positions 1470 to 1796 of the family's 1831-position model. The record is from RNAcentral.
CCCUUAGAUGUUCUGGGCCGCACGCGCGCUACACUGACGAAUGCAACGAGCUUAUAACCUUGGCCGAAAGGUCUGGGUAAUCUCCAAAUUUCGUCGUGAUGGGGAUAGAUUAUUGCAAUUAUUAAUCUUCAACGAGGAAUGCCUAGUAAGCGCAAGUCAUCAGCUUGCGUUGAUUACGGCCCUGCCCUUUGUACACACCGCCCGUCGCUCCUACCGAUUGAAUGGUCCGGUGAAGCGUUCGGACCGUGGCCUUUGGACGGUUCGCCGUCUGUUGGCUGCGGGAAGUUCGUUAAACCUUAUCAUUUAGAGGAAGGAGAAGUCGUAACA